RNAcentral lists this ribosomal RNA (600 nucleotides) under Lacticaseibacillus casei. RNAcentral's name for it is "bacterial SSU rRNA". It matches the Rfam family "Bacterial small subunit ribosomal RNA", at positions 38 to 606 of the family's 1533-position model. Lineage: Bacteria; Bacillati; Bacillota; Bacilli; Lactobacillales; Lactobacillaceae. The record is from RNAcentral.
GGGGGGGUGCUAUAAUGCAGUCGAACGAGUUCUCGUUGAUGAUCGGUGCUUGCACCGAGAUUCAACAUGGAACGAGUGGCGGACGGGUGAGUAACACGUGGGUAACCUGCCCUUAAGUGGGGGAUAACAUUUGGAAACAGAUGCUAAUACCGCAUAGAUCCAAGAACCGCAUGGUUCUUGGCUGAAAGAUGGCGUAAGCUAUCGCUUUUGGAUGGACCCGCGGCGUAUUAGCUAGUUGGUGAGGUAAUGGCUCACCAAGGCGAUGAUACGUAGCCGAACUGAGAGGUUGAUCGGCCACAUUGGGACUGAGACACGGCCCAAACUCCUACGGGAGGCAGCAGUAGGGAAUCUUCCACAAUGGACGCAAGUCUGAUGGAGCAACGCCGCGUGAGUGAAGAAGGCUUUCGGGUCGUAAAACUCUGUUGUUGGAGAAGAAUGGUCGGCAGAGUAACUGUUGUCGGCGUGACGGUAUCCAACCAGAAAGCCACGGCUAACUACGUGCCAGCAGCCGCGGUAAUACGUAGGUGGCAAGCGUUAUCCGGAUUUAUUGGGCGUAAAGCGAGCGCAGGCGGUUUUUUAAGUCUGAUGUGAAAGCCCUCG